Long non-coding RNA from Anthonomus grandis grandis, 656 nucleotides. RefSeq lists it as uncharacterized. The transcript is spliced from 2 exons. The record is from RefSeq and is a predicted model, not a curated record. NCBI's taxonomy places the organism in Eukaryota, Metazoa, Arthropoda, Insecta, Coleoptera, Curculionidae.
UCAACUUUGAUCUUGAAAAUUGCCUUCUCCAAAUCUUUACCACAUAAAAAUGUUCUAGAAAUCCAAGUCUUUUUUAAAAGUAAUGGGAUUUUAAAGAUUUUAUAGUUAGAGGUACCGUUGUAUUGGGUCUGUUUUGUCGGUUUAGUGUGUUUUUGUAGCAGUUUUACUUGGUUUUCCCUAAACUCUUCGUUGGGAUAAGUAGGACUUAGAUUUCAUCAUCUACAUCUAGAAGGGCUUACCAUGAAGUAGAAGAGGAUCGACACACAUUCUCAGACUCCUGCCACGGUAAAUUUCACCAACCAGCCACCAUUGAACCACCAGUAGUUUCAAACACCAGUAACAAAUCACCGUCAGCAACUACCAACAAUUCUCAGGCUGUUACAGAACUUCCGUCGACAAAAUUCACAAGUAAGACCUAGUAUGUUCGAUUGAUUUCUAUCAAAGUAUUUACGAUUGAUUAACGUAAACUUUAAGGAACAUAGACUUCAAGGAACUUCAAGAAAAACUUUUUUUAUUGUGUAUCUCUUAUUUAAAACUUUCGUAACCAAUGAAAACUCUUAUAACAAUGUAAAACUUUUUUAGCUCUCGUAACACUGUUAGGUUCAACCUUUUCAGUUUCACCCUCUAAAUAAAAUACUGCUAUUGUUUUUUUUCAA